Molecule: ribosomal RNA, 500 nt
Filed under: uncultured bacterium
Lineage: Bacteria
Description: partial 16S ribosomal RNA
Rfam family: Bacterial small subunit ribosomal RNA
Source: RNAcentral
AUUGAACGCUGGCGGCAUGCCUUACACAUGCAAGUCGAACGGCAGCACGGGAGCAAUACUGGUGGCGAGGGGCGAACGGGUGAGUAAAGUAUCGGAACGUGCCCAGUCGUGGUGGCUAACGUAGCGAAAGUUACGCUAAUAACGCAUACGAUCUAUGGGUGAAAGCGGGGGAGCGCAAGACCUCGCGCGGUGGGAGCGGCCGAUAUCAGAUUAGGUAGUUGGUGGGGUAAAGGCUGACCCAGUCGACGAUCUGUAGCUGGUCGGAGAGGACGACCAGGCACACUGGGACUGAGACACGGCCCAGACUCCUACGGGAGGAAGCAGUGGGGAAUUUUGGACAAUGGGCGAAAGCCUGAUCCAGCCAUGCCGCGUGCAGGAUGAAGGCCUUCGGGUUGUAAACUGCUUUUGUACGGAACGAAAAGGUUUGGCCUAAUAAGCUGAGCUCAUGACGGUACCGUAAGAAUAAGCACCGGCUAACUACGUGCCAGCCGCCGCCGUAA